Poecilia latipinna (sailfin molly) is the source of this 145-nucleotide long non-coding RNA. RefSeq lists it as uncharacterized. The record is from RefSeq and is a predicted model, not a curated record. The transcript is spliced from 3 exons. NCBI's taxonomy places the organism in Eukaryota, Metazoa, Chordata, Actinopteri, Cyprinodontiformes, Poeciliidae.
AAAAUAAUCUGAUAAUCCAGUGUUUUUCAACCACUGUGCCGCGGCGCACUAAUGUACCGUGAGUGAUCGACAGGUGUGCCGUGGAAAUUAUCCAAUUUCACCUACUAUAUUUUCCGGACUAUAAGCUGCUACUAUUUUCCUACAC